RNAcentral lists this ribosomal RNA (253 nucleotides) under uncultured bacterium. RNAcentral describes it as "partial 16S ribosomal RNA". It matches the Rfam family "Bacterial small subunit ribosomal RNA", at positions 524 to 776 of the family's 1533-position model. The record is from RNAcentral.
UACGAAGGGGGCUAGCGUUGCUCGGAAUCACUGGGCGUAAAGCGCACGUGGGCGGAUUGCUAAGUCAGGGGUGAAAUCCUGGAGCUCAACUCCAGAACUGCCUUUGAUACUGGCGAUCUCGAGUCCGGGAGAGGUGAGUGGAACUGCGAGUGUAGAGGUGAAAUUCGUAGAUAUUCGCAAGAACACCAGUGGCGAAGGCGGCUCACUGGCCCGGUACUGACGCUGAGGUGCGAAAGCGUGGGGAGCAAACAGG